Molecule: ribosomal RNA, 463 nt
Filed under: uncultured bacterium
Lineage: Bacteria
Description: bacterial SSU rRNA
Rfam family: Bacterial small subunit ribosomal RNA
Source: RNAcentral
ACUCCUACGGGAGGCAGCAGUGGGGAAUAUUGCACAAUGGGCGCAAGCCUGAUGCAGCCAUGCCGCGUGUAUGAAGAAGGCCUUCGGGUUGUAAAGUACUUUCAGCAGUGAGGAAGGUGGGUAUGUUAAUAGCAUAUUCAUUUGACGUUAGCUGCAGAAGAAGCACCGGCUAACUCCGUGCCAGCAGCCGCGGUAAUACGGAGGGUGCGAGCGUUAAUCGGAAUUACUGGGCGUAAAGCGCAUGCAGGUGGUUUGUUAAGUCAGAUGUGAAAGCCCGGGGCUCAACCUCGGAAUUGCAUUUGAAACUGGCAAACUAGAGUACUGUAGAGGGGGUAGAAUUUCAGGUGUAGCGGUGAAAUGCGUAGAGAUCUGAAGGAAUACCGGUGGCGAAGGCGGCCCCUGGACAGAUACUGACACUCAGAUGCGAAAGCGUGGGAGCAAACAGGAUUAGAUACCCCUGGUA